RNAcentral lists this ribosomal RNA (497 nucleotides) under uncultured bacterium. Its description in RNAcentral is "partial 16S ribosomal RNA". It matches the Rfam family "Bacterial small subunit ribosomal RNA", at positions 28 to 507 of the family's 1533-position model. The record is from RNAcentral.
GAUGAACGCUGGCGGCGUGCCUAAUACAUGCAAGUCGAGCGAACAGACGAGGAGCUUGCUCCUCUGACGUUAGCGGCGGACGGGUGGGUAACACGUGGAUAACCUACCUAUAAGACUGGGAUAACUUCGGGAAACCGGAGCUAAUACCGGAUAAUAUAUUCAACCGCAUGGUUCAAUAGUGAAAGACGGUUUUGCUGACACUUAUAGAUGGAUCCGCGCCGCAUUAGCUAGUUGGUAAGGUAACGGCUUACCAAGGCAACGAUGCGUAGCCGACCUGAGAGGGUGAUCGGCCACACUGGAACUGAGACACGGUCCAGACUCCUACGGGAGGCAGCAGUAGGGAAUCUUCCGCAAUGGGCGCAAGCCUGACGCAGCAACGCCGCGUGGGUGAUGAAGGUCUUCGGAUCGUAAAACUCUGUUAUUAGGGAAGAACAACUGUGUAAGUAACUAUGCACGUCUUGACGGUACCUAAUCAGAAAGCCACGGCUAACUACGUG